RNAcentral lists this ribosomal RNA (248 nucleotides) under uncultured bacterium. RNAcentral describes it as "partial 16S ribosomal RNA". It matches the Rfam family "Bacterial small subunit ribosomal RNA", at positions 84 to 334 of the family's 1533-position model. The record is from RNAcentral.
ACUGAUGGCGACCGGCGCACGGUGAGUAACACGUAUCCAACCUGCCUCAUACUCGGGGAUAGCCUUUCGAAAGAAAGAUUAAUAUCCGAUAGCAUAUAUUUCCCGCAUGGGUUUUAUAUUAAAGAAAUUCGGUAUGAGAUGGGGAUGCGUUCCAUUAGUUUGUUGGGGGGGUAACGGCCCACCAAGACUACGAUGGAUAGGGGUUCUGAGAGGAAGGUCCCCCACAUUGGAACUGAGACACGGUCCAA